Molecule: ribosomal RNA, 447 nt
Filed under: uncultured bacterium
Lineage: Bacteria
Description: bacterial SSU rRNA
Rfam family: Bacterial small subunit ribosomal RNA
Source: RNAcentral
UCCAGACUCCUACGGGAGGCAGCAGUGGGGAAUAUUGGACAAUGGGGGAAACCCUGAUGCAGCAACGCCGCGUGGGUGAAGGAGCGUUUCGGCGCGUAAAGCCCUGUCAGCGGGGAAGAAGAAAGACGGUACCCGACCAAGAAGCCCCGGCUAACUACGUGCCAGCAGCCGCGGUAAUACGUAGGGGGCGAGCGUUAUCCGGAAUUACUGGGUGUAAAGGGAGCGUAGACGGCGAGGUAAGCCUGAAGUGGAAGCCCGCGGCCCAACCGCGGAACUGCUUUGGAAACUGUGCAGCUCGAGUGCAGGAGAGGUAAGCGGAAUUCCUAGUGUAGCGGUGAAAUGCGUAGAUAUUAGGAGGAACACCAGUGGCGAAGGCGGCUUACUGGACUGUAACUGACGUUGAGGCUCGAAAGCGUGGGGAGCAAACAGGAUUAGAUACCCUGGUAU